This 427-nucleotide ribosomal RNA is filed under the name uncultured prokaryote. Its description in RNAcentral is "bacterial SSU rRNA". It matches the Rfam family "Bacterial small subunit ribosomal RNA", at positions 355 to 774 of the family's 1533-position model. The record is from RNAcentral.
CUAAGAAUAUUCCGCAAUGGACGAAAGUCUGACGGAGCGACGCCGCGUGGAUGAAGAAGGCCGCAAGGUUGUAAAAUCCUUUUGCUGGGGAAGAAUAAGUCCAGGAGGGAAUGCCUGGAUGAUGACAUGAACCGGCGAAUAAGCCCCGGCCAACUACGUGCCAGCAGCCGCGGUAACACGUAGGGGGCAAGCGUUGUUCGGAAUUACUGGGCGUAAAGGGCAUGUAGGCGGUUUAGUAAGCUUGGCGUGAAAGCCCACAGCUCAACUGUGGGGUUGCGUUGGUAACUGCUGAACUUGAGUUACGGAGAGGGGGCUGGAAUUCCUGGUGUAGGGGUGGAAUCUGUAGAUAUCAGGAAGAAUACCGAUGGCGAAGGCAAGCUUCUGGCCGAUAACUGACGCUGAGGUGCGAAAGUGUGGGGAGCAAACA